GAGGAACAAAGAGUCUCUCUCUCUCUCUCUCUCUCUCUCUCUGUAUGUGUGUGUGUGUGUGUGUGUGAGAGAGAGAGAGAGAGAGAGAGAGAGAGAGAGAGAGAGAGAGAGAGAACAGUGAG
Molecule: microRNA precursor, 122 nt
Filed under: Marmota monax (woodchuck)
Lineage: Eukaryota; Metazoa; Chordata; Mammalia; Rodentia; Sciuridae
Source: RNAcentral